GUUUUUGUUUUUGUACGUUACGCACAACAAGACAUUCCGUUACAUUCGAGAGUGUGUAAAAGUACUCGAGCACCAGGCCCAAUCAAAGGCCAUGCAAAGCGGCACUCAGAGUCAUAGAUGCACAGGUGUGUGGGAUUUGCGACUCGCAAGAUGUGCACUUGUGUCUCCACCAGCACAAUCCGACGGGCCGACUUUGAAGAUUCACUAAUGAUCCUUCCGCAGGUUCACCUACGGAAA
This 237-nucleotide unclassified non-coding RNA is filed under the name uncultured fungus. RNAcentral describes it as "sequence contains ITS1". The record is from RNAcentral. Lineage: Eukaryota; Fungi.